Molecule: non-coding RNA, 145 nt
Organism: Hordeum vulgare subsp. vulgare (domesticated barley)
Lineage: Eukaryota; Viridiplantae; Streptophyta; Magnoliopsida; Poales; Poaceae
Source: Rfam
GUUGCUUCACAACUGGAAGGAUGCCUAUUGUUGACAGUUUGGCCAUCCUGUAGACGGAAGCAUAGAUGAGUGGAAACACAGGCCAGCAUUAAACAGCACGACGCGUUACUUCACAGUGUCGUGUUACCUGUCUUCUGGCACAUUU